Molecule: non-coding RNA, 481 nt
Organism: Heteronotia binoei (common prickly gecko)
Lineage: Eukaryota; Metazoa; Chordata; Lepidosauria; Squamata; Gekkonidae
Source: the annotation of a RefSeq genome assembly
UUGUUCUCCUGCUUGCAUUCCAGAUUUCCCCACCAUGUUCUGGACAUCCAUUCUUAGCCUUAUAGUGAUGUGGUGUCCAGGUUUCAACACUCAGCUUGUGCUGUCUCAGCCACCAUCAGCCUCAGUGACUCUGGGAGACACAGUGAGGCUGGCCUGCAACAUGGACAGAGAGACCAGCAUUGGAACUUACCGUGUUUCCUGGUAUCAGAAGAAACCUGGGAUCCCCCCACGAUUCCUUUUAGGUUUCACUUCUGAUUCCAACAAGGUUCAGGGUUCUGGAGUCCCCUCUCGUUUCUCCGGUUCUAAAGACACUUCCAGUAAUGCUGGCUAUUUAGCCAUUGCAACAACAAUAGCAGAAGACGAGGCUGAUUAUUACUGUGCAGUACAUCCCUCCUAUCACAGUGACACAGACAGAUGGGGAAGCAAGACAAAAACCUCUACUGGAGUUCUCGAAGGGGCCCUGGUUCAGCCAUGCAUAUAA